CAGGCCUCUGCCCAGUGGUCAGGGUGGAGACUGGAUAAAGAAUCAGGGAGCCUGAAGCCCCUGUGCUUUCAUCAUUUCCAGCCUCCUGCCCCUGCUUGGGGCCUGGGCACGUUCACAGCUGAACAAGAUGCGGCAGGAAACCCUGAAUCAAGGGGGUGAAGGCAUUAAUGAAGCUGAGCUGACUUCUGGCUCUAAAUUCCUUUCCCUUUGCUUCCAGGCUUGCUGUGGCCUGUUGUCUCUGCCCGGCAGAGUCUGGUGGCUGCUCUCAUUUCACAUCAUAUUGCGAGCUGGAUGAAAGCAAGAACCAAGGCGGCUCAGCACGCAUAAAGAAUGGAAUAACAGCAAACAACAUUGGAGGAGGACUUGUCUGGGAGAGCAGCCAUUUUAAAGAAGAGCACAUUAAGUCACAAACAGUCGCAGCUGAUCUACUUUGCAGCAUCGCCAUACAUGCCUAACUAAAUAUUGAAAUCCCGGGAAAAACUCACUGUGCAUCAUGUUCCAGAAACUAGCUUUGCAAACAGUCUUUUCAGAUGUGUACAUUUUGUGUAUUUGAGGCAUAUAAUAUAUAUAUUUUCCUCCAUGUUCACCCAA
This 591-nucleotide long non-coding RNA is filed under the name Homo sapiens (human). RNAcentral describes it as "HSALNT0308877". Lineage: Eukaryota; Metazoa; Chordata; Mammalia; Primates; Hominidae. The record is from RNAcentral.